UACGUAGGUGGCGAGCGUUGUCCGGAAUUACUGGGUGUAAAGGGCGUGUAGGCGGGGAAGCAAGUCAGAUGUGAAAUCCCGGGGCUCAACUCCGGAGUUGCAUCUGAAACUGUUUUUCUUGAGUGCUGGAGAGGAAAGCGGAAUUCCUAGUGUAGCGGCGAAAUGCGUAGAUAUUAGGAGGAACACCAGUGGCGAAGGCGGCUUUCUGGACAGUAACUGACGCUGAGGCUCGAAAGCGUGGGGAGCAAACAGGAUUAGAUACCCGGGUAGUCCCU
This 275-nucleotide ribosomal RNA is filed under the name uncultured prokaryote. RNAcentral's name for it is "partial 16S ribosomal RNA". It matches the Rfam family "Bacterial small subunit ribosomal RNA", at positions 524 to 798 of the family's 1533-position model. The record is from RNAcentral.